AACGAACGCUGGCGGCAUGCCUAACACAUGCAAGUCGAACGAUCCCUUCGGGGAUAGUGGCGCACGGGUGCGUAACGCGUGGGAACCUGCCCUUAGGUUCGGAAUAACUCAGAGAAAUUUGAGCUAAUACCGGAUAAUGUCUUCGGACCAAAGAUUUAUCGCCUUUGGAUGGGCCCGCGUUGGAUUAGCUAGUUGGUGGGGUAAAGGCCUACCAAGGCGACGAUCCAUAGCUGGUCUGAGAGGAUGAUCAGCCACACUGGGACUGAGACACGGCCCAGACUCCUACGGGAAGCAGCAGCGGGGAAUAUUGGACAAUGGGCGAAAGCCUGAUCCAGCAAUGCCGCGUGAGUGAUGAAGGCCUUAGGGUUGUAAAGCUCUUUUACCCGGGAUGAUAAUGACAGUACCGGGAGAAUAAGCCCCGGCUAACUCCGUG
This 433-nucleotide ribosomal RNA is filed under the name uncultured bacterium. Its description in RNAcentral is "partial 16S ribosomal RNA". It matches the Rfam family "Bacterial small subunit ribosomal RNA", at positions 29 to 507 of the family's 1533-position model. The record is from RNAcentral.